AUCAUCACCAUGCGUCAUCACCGCCGCCACCGCCAGUGCCGCUGCCAUCACCACCACGUCAUUUGUUUGAGACUGCCCACCAUCAUCACCACAGGUCGUCUCCACCACCGCCAGUGCCAUCAUCACCACCACACAGUGUUUGAGACGUUAUCACCAAAUUAUGCCAAAUAAAGCUGAAGUCCGUGACAUGCUACUGCUACAACAGAAUGUCUGUUUGACUUAUGAUUGCAAGAACAUGUGCAAGGAAAACAUUUUGUUGCAUACUUGCUGUUGCCUACAUUAAGCACUGUAAUGAGCAUUUGUUUGGUGAGGGCUCAAUAAAAGACGGUUCUUUUUGUUGCACAAAUGCUGCUAUAUUUCGUUCCAGAUGCACAUGAUAUACUAGCCUAUUUAUAUUACAGUACAAUAAAAAAUUAUAUAGUUAAUAUAUUGUCGAGAUAUUUUGCUGAAAACGGUUUAUAAAAUUUAAGUGUUUAGUAGAUUGCAAAUGUAUAUUAUCUGGAUUUGUAGCCAUAUUCUAAUUAAUAGGUCUACAAUUAUACGAUUACACAGAUUAUAAUUACAAAACGUCAAAAAAACCAAAACUCAUGGAUGGCGCAUUCAUCUGGAACUAGAAUACUGGUUAUAUAACGACCAUUUAUGCCAAACAAAAGAGAAAAAUUGUUAGCAAUAAUAAAGUUACAAUUGAUUCUACAAGGGUACGUUUUUUCAUGAAAAAGUAACUGUCCAAUCCAAAUCCUGUAUUAUUGUCAGAUUCGAAUCUAACAGUGGGGACAAGUGAUAAAAAAUCAAAAAAUAAAGCAGUGAUAUGUGAUAAAAAAACUGUAUCACAGCCGGAUUCAGAUGUGUCAACAGUGUGAUAAGUGACGACAAAUAAGAAACACAGUAGUUAUAAGUGAUAAAAAAAUCAAAAAUAUGUGUUUUUUCAUGAUUGACAAGUACUGUUUCAUAGCUCAAUCGUCAGUGCCUUAGUGGCUUCAUACAUGGGGCAAGAGCUGAUGACCAUGUCCCAAUGCUACUAAGCCAGCCAAAAUCGUGUCAGGUCAACCAUGUGCUACGGCUGGGUUGGCCGGGACAGCAGCUUCCAUGCCUGCCGUGAUUUUUCUUGUUUUAUAUUUUUUUUAUUUACUAUCUUUUAACUUUUGGAUGUACUCAUGUGCUUGAUAAUAAGUAAUGCCCAUGGAAAAAUUUUAAUGGCAAUAUCACUCUUCUUGCCAAGCUGGAAAUAGUGAGCAACUCCCUAAUUUUAAUUACUUACUCGUCUUCGUCUGCAUUAUUUACUCUCUGGACAUGUUGAUAUUAGUUACUCCUAGCUAUAUAUAGGUAGCAAACCAAUGCAAUGGGUAAUGCUUGUCUAGUUUACGUUCUGCUGCUUGUGUAGGCUGCUCCAAGUUUGGUCGUCGUUGCUCUCCACCGCCACCAUCAGAGACGUGCUACAUUGAACCAAACCGCGAUCCUUUACGGUGCUACCGGCCGGAAGUGUUAGUCCUUUCACAAGGAAUAUUCCCGCUGUAAAUCGAUAGAUGUGAAUCCACAUGAGUGCUAUUGUAACAAUUAAUUAGCAACACACAUUGUAAUGCAAGGAAUAUCCCAGCUGUAAAACAGAUUUAUGGUCCUACAGGAAGUCUGAUGCAUGCAUGCAUGUUAAAAUAAAUUUGCCUUUCUGUGACCAAACGAAGGUGUACUUUAGUACGGAUUGGAGCAUCUCCAAUGGUUUGUCAUUUGCACUUGCUAUCCUUGUUUAUUUGGCAAAAACUACAAAUUUGAUUCUCCAAUGGUUUGCUAAAGGACUUGCCAAAUUUUGAGGAGUUGCUAUCCAGAGGCGCUCCACGCGCAAAUUUGAGGAGUUGCUAUCCAGAGUUGCUAUCCAUGGUGGUCAUUGCCGCCCCGUCCUCUUGCCUCCGUCGUCCGCGCGGCCGUCCUCUGUCGUCGUCCGUGCGGUCUCCGUCCGUCGUCGUCCGCGUGGUCUCCAUCCAUCAUCAUACGUGCGGCCGUCGUCCAUCAUCGUCUGCGCGGCCUCCAUCUAUCGUCGUCUGCGUGGCUGUUCUCCGUCCCUCGUCCGCGCGGCCUCCAUCCAUCGUCGUACGUGCGGCCGUCCUUCGUCGUCGUCCGCGCGGCCUCCGUUUAAUGACAACGGUGGCCAGCGGAUGGAGAUCGCCGCGAUGAAGCAGCGACGCACGGCGGCCACGAGAGUCACGACAGUUGAACGGUUGGAGGAUGUGGGCCUUUUUUUCUAUUUUACCAAGUCCAAAUGACAAACCAUUGGAGAUACAAGAUUAUUUCACUUGCCAUUUGUUUUAGCCACUUGCCAAAACACAAGAUUUGACAAAUGCAAUUUGACAAACCAUUGGAGAUGCUGUGUCCAUCUGUAAUAUUGUUGCGUAUAAUGGCACUCACACGCUCAGUAUGCUGCUAUAGUAGAAGCACAGUACUGAUCGGUGCAACAGAAACCAUUUUUAGAGAAGCUAUGCGGCUCUAUCAAAAUAUCCCUCUAAAAAUGAUCUCUAUUUUUAGAGGUGGCUGGCAAGUCAAACAGCCUCUACGAAAUGUGAUUAGAGGCAUCUAAACUUUUUAGCAUCCAUUUCUAGAGGUGGUUGGGAAUUCCAGCCAUCUCUAGAAAUGGACUUAGAGGCGGUUCUCAAUUUGGCCAGAUGGCCAUUGGAGGCUCCAAAGAUAGGAUUCCACUAUUGCGGUGGGAGAUGGAGUGGCAAAAUUUCCGAGAGGUGGCGGAGGCGGAUGGAGCUAUAACAUUUAAGGCAGGAGGCCGCGACACUCCACCUUCUGGCUUGGAAAUGGGCCGAUAACUUCGCCUGAGACAGGCCUUGGAAAGGCAGGAUAUAGACGAAUGGCCGUAAUUGAAGCAAAGAUUGUAUCUGAUUGAUCCUCGAUCUACAAGCUUUCUAUAAAUGACAAAAGCCUAGAUACCUGAAGCAUUGGGAGGGGCUGUGUUUGAAUUUAAAACAGAGUCAGUUGCCACAGAAGGCGACGAAUGUGGCAAUAGGAGGCUGCGGGUUUCAGCCCCAAUGCAGAACCACCCUGAGAUUUUGCCAUGAGCGCCUAUUUAGGGUUCCAGCGAGAAAUUGGCCUGAAAUUUCUCCCCACUAGAUUUGAAUUCAAAUUUGAAUUUGGGGAAUGGGCAAAAUUCUGAGGAACAAAAGAAGAACCAAAAAAAUUCUCAUGCUACUGUUUGCAGGGUAAUUCUGAACGAAGGAAAACCAAUUUUUUGAAACGAGCUUAGAUUUAACAAUCUCUGCAAAACUCUUUUUAUUGGAUUUUGAUCCGAUUGUUGUCAACUAAUCCUCUUGUUCAGCGAUCCAAACAUCAUACUCUGUUUUCCAGUUAGGACCCCCUCCUCACCAAAGGCAGAAGAAGAAGAUGGAAAAAAUCUUGCAAGAAAAGCUUUUGAGUUUGCGGAUCAUGAAACCCAUGUUCUUACAAGAGACUGAGAAGCUAUACAUCCAACCCAAAAAGGUGGAAGACAUUGAAAUCCUUAGCAAUGCCUCCAAGGCAUGAUUGAAGAAGUCCAAUGGAGUCCUCAUUGAGAUGGAAAACCGAGCGACUAAAGCUUGCAACAAGAUGGAAUGCAGACAGGAGAAGGGGGGCGCAGGACUCAGCGGGCACCCAAAACGUUGGUGAACCAAUUCCACAAACAUGGUCCCUGGAUCAAAGCACAGAUCGGAGAGCCCAGCCACGGUGCAAUCCAGGAUCAGCAGGGGGCUCCAUAGUCGGCAGUGGGAACAGGGGGAGAGAACACUAGAGGGGAAAGCACUGUCAGGGUUGUCUAUGAUCAACUAUAUUUUAGUCGACAUGGAUACAUAAUGUUUGCUAUGUAUCAAGCAUAAAUCCAUGUGCUUAGCAAAAAAACUAUGUAUCUAAAAACCUAGAAUGACUUACAAUUUGAAAUAGACAGAAUAAUUUUUUUUACCAUUUCACAAAGCACGUAUGUGCUUAUGACCAUUAAUUGUACUGAAGUAUAGAAGCUAACAAUAUAUAGCAAAUUAACUCAAAAAAUGUUGGUCAAUGUGCCGCGGAUCAAGCUCCAAAGGCAGCAUUGCCAAAUAAAAUAAAGUGGUUUCCCUAGUGCAUGAUGAAAAAUAAAGUGCCAUUUCGAUCGAGUAUAUUUGAUCAAAUAUGGGAGAAACAGGACUCUUGGGUAUUCAAUUUUAACCCACUUUUCUAAUUUGGUCAUAACAUCAUUAUUCUAUAUUGGUAAAUGUUAAAAUGUUGUUUAUCAGCAACUGACACUAACUGCACAUUGGAAACCAGAGUAUUCCGUGUUCAUUGGGAAAAAAUAUAUUCAGUGUUCUGUAACAGAAGUUGGCAUUUAGGUUCCAUCAUCGUUUGGCUACAAGUUCUGGAUUUACCUCUACAUUGUUGGAUGGUCUCCUAUUGCUAAAUUGGUUAUAUGUUUGCAGAAGAAAAUAGUUGAUUUUCUACGUCUCCAGCAUGUUCAUAACAUGUUUUAUUGUUGCCCUAGAUAAGUCUAUUUGGUUUUACAAUUACGAGAGCCAAAAUUCAUACAUUCUAGACAUCCAUAUUAGAUUCUACGGUGGUAGGUGAACAAAGUAGUAUAUUUACGGUUGUGGAUGAAUAAGGUAGUAAAUUUGUGGUUUUGUGAUUGUGCUAUUGGUUAUUGCAACAAAUUUACUCUUGAGGAUCUUACUAUACACAUAAGAUAAAUAAAAAAAAUAAAAUCCUAGAUAGAUGAAGAGGCUAAUGCUGUAGAUAAAUAAAUAAAUACAUAAGGUAAAUAAAUACACUUGAGGUGCAUUGAAGGCUAGUUCCAUCAAGAUUGAUGAUAAACAAAUACAUAUUUACAUGCACAAAACAAAUAGAUAGGUAGGUACAGAUAGAGACAUAAAUAGAUUUCUUAUUUUUAAUAAAUUUUGGGCAAAUAGAUAGAUAGGCAGACAAACUCAUAAAUAGUUAGGCAGGUACAAAUAGAUAUAGAUAUAGAUAUAGAUAUAGAUAUAGAUAUAGAUAUAGAUAUAGAUAUAGAUAUAGAUAUAGAUAUAGAUAUAGAUAUAAAUAAAUUUUGACAAUAAAUCUUACUCAAGGUUUUUGGGUACUCCUAUAUAAACACCUACACACUAAUGCCAAAAAGAAAUACGAAUACAAUGCACACCACUUCUUGAUACCUAAACAAGGUGAAACAGGGAAGUAAGGAGGAAAAAAGAAAAGAGUAGUAUUGUCCUCUGGCGUCAGUCACCAAGUGCUAUACAAUGAGGAAUGUAUACCAGACAACUGUUAUUUCCCUGAUACUUAUGAUCAUUUAUUCAACCACUCCAGCAUGUCAAGGUAUAUAGAGAGAUAUAAUUACUUAUUCUUACAUAUUAAUCCAUUCAUUCAAAUAAUAGCUUGCUUUGGCUUUGCGUUAUAAGCCAAAAAUCUCUAAUAACUUCGUCCAAGUUUGAUUUGAAAAAAUUUUAAACUAGUACAUGUCCAGAUAAAAGAAACUAUGAAAACAUAUGUCCUAAAGAAUUUGAUAAAAGUAAUAUGAAGGUUUAGAUGUAUGAGCAUUUUUCUCUAAACUUGGUCAGAAUUAGGAAUUUUUACUUUGAACAAAUCUUGAUGGAGCUAUAGUUUCGAACUGAUCAAGUACCAAUCAACAUGUUUUUAUUAUUUUGUAUUAUGUUGCAUGCAUGUCUAGGCCACGACCAGGUUGAGGCAUGGCAUCAUCUCCACAGUUCACCACCGCCACCGCUAAUGGAAUCAUCACGACCAUGGAGUUUAUCUGAAAUGUCGCACCAUCACCACCACGGGUCGCCUCCGCCACCGCCAAUGACGCCAUCACCAAUACGUAGUUUGACAGAGACAUUACACCAUCAUCACCACAGGUCGCCACCGCCUCCAUCAGUGCCGUCAUCACCACCACACCAUUUGUUCGAGAUGUCGCACCACCAUCACCACAAGUCACCUCCGCCACCGCCAGUAAUGUCAUUGCCAUCGAGAACUUUGUUUGAGACGUCGCACUGGCAUCACCACGGGUCGCCACCGCCGCCAUCAGUGCCGUCACCACCACCACGCCAUUUGUUUGAGACGUCGCACCAUCAUCCCCACAGGUCGCCUCCACCGCCGCUAGUGCCGUCAUCACCACCACGCAUCUUGUCUGAGACAUCGCACUGGCAUCACCAUAGGUCACCGCCACCACCACCAGUGUUGUUGCCACCAACACACAGUUUGUCUAAGGCCCUGUUUAGUUCCCCACCCAAAAAUUUUUCAUCCAUCCCAACGAAUCUUUAGACACAUGCAUGGAACAUUAAAUGUAGAUAAAAAAAUAAACUAAUUACACAGUUUAGUUGAGAAUCGCGAGACGAAUCUUUUAAACCUAGUUACUCCCUGAUUAGCCUUAAGUGCUACAGUAACCCACAUAUGCUAAUGAUAGAUUAAUUAUGCUUAAUAAAUUUGUCUUGCAGUUUCCUGACGAGCUAUGUAAUUUGUUUUUUUAUUAGUCUGUAAAAACCCCUCCCGACAUCCUUCCGACACAUUCGAUGUGACACCCAAAAAAUUUUCGUUACCAAUCUAAACAGGCCCUAAGGGAUCACACCAUCAUCACCAUAGGUCGCCGCCGCCACCACCAGUGUCAUUGUCACCACCACGCCAUUUGUUUGAGAUGUUGCACCAUCAUCACCAUGCGUCAUCACCGCCGCCACCGCCAGUGCCGCUGCCAUCACCACCACGUCAUUUGUUUGAGACUGCCCACCAUCAUCACCACAGGUCGUCUCCACCACCGCCAGUGCCAUCAUCACCACCACACAGUGUUUGAGACGUUAUCACCAAAUUAUGCCAAAUAAAGCUGAAGUCCGUGACAUGCUACUGCUACAACAGAAUGUCUGUUUGACUUAUGAUUGCAAGAACAUGUGCAAGGAAAACAUUUUGUUGCAUACUUGCUGUUGCCUACAUUAAGCACUGUAAUGAGCAUUUGUUUGGUGAGGGCUCAAUAAAAGACGGUUCUUUUUGUUGCACAAAUGCUGCUAUAUUUCGUUCCAGAUGCACAUGAUAUACUAGCCUAUUUAUAUUACAG
This 7024-nucleotide long non-coding RNA is filed under the name Sorghum bicolor (sorghum). RNAcentral's name for it is "long non-coding RNA (SBIC_LNC009364)". Lineage: Eukaryota; Viridiplantae; Streptophyta; Magnoliopsida; Poales; Poaceae. The record is from RNAcentral.